CCUACGGGUGGCAGCAGUGAGGAAUAUUGGUCAAUGGACGCGAGCCUGAACCAGCCAAGUAGCGUGAAGGAUGACUGCCCUAUGGGUUGUAAACUUCUUUUAUAUGGGAAUAAAAUGUUCUACGUGUGCUACUUUGUAUGUACCUUAUGAAUAAUGAUCGGCUAACUCCGUGCCAGCAGCCGCGGUAAUACGGAGGAUCCGAGCGUUAUCCGGAUUUAUUGGGUUUAAAGGGAGCGUAGGAGGGUUGUUAAGUCAGUUGUGAAAGUUUGCGGCUCAACCGUAAAAUUGCAGUUGAAACUGGCAGUCUUGAGUACAGUAGAGGUAGGCGGAAUGCGUGGUGUAGCGGUGAAAUGCUUAGAUAUCACGAAGAACUCCGAUUGCGAAGGCAGCUCACUGGACUGCAACUGACGCUGAGGCUCGAAAGUGUGGGUAUCAAACAGGAUUAGAUACCCUGGUAGUC
This 460-nucleotide ribosomal RNA is filed under the name uncultured bacterium. Its description in RNAcentral is "partial 16S ribosomal RNA". It matches the Rfam family "Bacterial small subunit ribosomal RNA", at positions 338 to 795 of the family's 1533-position model. The record is from RNAcentral.